UUGAAUCCUUGUGUUUUAGGACAAUGUUUGGAACACAGUUACAUAAAUAUGGACUCCAUCUUUUGUUAUUGCAACACAUUAUAAUGGCAAGUCAUUACUUUUCCUUGUAACAUGAGGGGCACUCCCAUUCAAGACAACUGGAAAAACCAGCUUCUAAAUACUUUGCCAGUAUUGAGAACCAGGACUUUGAAAUGUUGCGCAUUCCCUCUUCCUGGAAUAGACUGUACUUUGUAACUGCAAUCUACUAGUAUCUGCAAAGAAGAGCACAUAUGCAGAGGUGUAGAAAAGUGUGAGUUUCCCAGAAGCCAGAAGGACCAAGUACUUAGAACAGAGACCAACAACUGGAAGGCAGGGAUCGGAAUACAGCUCCUGGAAAGCUGCCAACUGGCCCGCAACAAAGUGCUCUCACCAUUCCGUCACUUUAAGUGAAAAAAAUGUGUGUUUAUGUCUUAUUUCAGUUGUCCCUCCCAUUCAAAACUAAAUACUUUCAGCCCAUCUGGCAUGAAGCUAA
Podarcis raffonei (Aeolian wall lizard) is the source of this 511-nucleotide long non-coding RNA. RefSeq lists it as uncharacterized. The record is from RefSeq and is a predicted model, not a curated record. The transcript has 2 exons. NCBI's taxonomy places the organism in Eukaryota, Metazoa, Chordata, Lepidosauria, Squamata, Lacertidae.